Molecule: long non-coding RNA, 551 nt
Organism: Cyprinus carpio carpio
Lineage: Eukaryota; Metazoa; Chordata; Actinopteri; Cypriniformes; Cyprinidae
Source: Ensembl
AGAAAAUGAAGACAUACAGAAAAAUGGAAAGAAAGAAGGAAGAAGGCAGACGGAAAUGAAUGACAAACAAAGAAUCUUGACAAACAGACAAAAAGCAAGGGACUGACAGAAGAGGAAGAAAGAAAAGAUUGAUGAAGGUCAGACAGGAGAGAAGAAAUGGAGGAAAGAAGACAGACAAGUGAGAAUGCUGAAACGAAACAGCACAUGAAAGUUUCUGACAGUUCAACGCUCAUGAAUAUUUAAUGAGGCUGGUCCUCACUCAUAACAGAGGCAGUAAAAGUGUCUGAGAGAGAAAUAUAUGACCCUCCUUCUGUUUUCCUGUGUGUUGAAGAAUAAGAGUGGACCCCACUGAUAUUUCACCCCCACCUGUCCUGCCGUUAAGAACAAUGCGGGAGCUCCUUUAUGUGUGAAUGACUCCGUCCCCACAUUCACUAUCUCUCAUAACCUGCAGGACAAACAAAGAGCCAAGCACUUCCUAUUGCUUGCUUCAGUGAAGGUGGGGUGUGAAGAAAUUUCUCCAAGGAGGAAGGUGCUCCUCAAAAAAGCUGAAU